AGCUUAUCGAUGAUGUUGUAAAAAUAAAUGUCUGAACAUAUGAAUUUGAUAACUGAUUUCAGCAUUUAACUGAGAUAAGCA
Ailuropoda melanoleuca (giant panda) is the source of this 81-nucleotide small nucleolar RNA. Ensembl annotates it as small nucleolar RNA, C/D box 72. Its record names the gene SNORD72. The record is from Ensembl. Lineage: Eukaryota; Metazoa; Chordata; Mammalia; Carnivora; Ursidae.